This is a non-coding RNA of Oryza sativa Japonica Group (Japanese rice), 80 nucleotides long. NCBI's taxonomy places the organism in Eukaryota, Viridiplantae, Streptophyta, Magnoliopsida, Poales, Poaceae. The record is from Rfam.
UAUGUAACUCCGCCUAUGUCAUCUUAAGUUUAUCUAAAUGAUAUAGCCGGUCCCAAGCCCGGAAAAAGGAGGAGGGUAUA